Aethalodelphis obliquidens (Pacific white-sided dolphin) is the source of this 609-nucleotide long non-coding RNA. RefSeq lists it as uncharacterized. The transcript is spliced from 3 exons. NCBI's taxonomy places the organism in Eukaryota, Metazoa, Chordata, Mammalia, Artiodactyla, Delphinidae. The record is from RefSeq and is a predicted model, not a curated record.
GUUAAAAAAAAAAAAAAAUCUUGUCUUGACCGGGAGAGAUUUGGGGACUUCACCUCACAGACUUCUCUCCCCGCUCAAAAAGUCACAUCCAUUUCAGACAGCCAGAAACAGCCCCAGAAGUGGCACCUGCGCCACCUGAGGACAUCUGUCUGAAUCAGACGUCUGGCCCCUUUGGGCUGUUGGGGGAACCCAAGCAGAACCACGUUUGAGGAAUAAGGAACCAGCUGUUGAAUCACGAGCCGAUCAGUACACCCCACCCCCGUUCUUCCCCCGUAGGAAAGAAGUCGUUUGACCAGGUGCUGUGCAUCAUGCUGAAUAUAGAAAAAUAAAUGAGAUAAGGUCCCUAUCUUCAAGGAAUUUAGACUCUACGGCAACAGUGUACCUCCUUGUCCUGAAAGGCUGGAAAGCUAAAAACCACAUUUCCCAGACCACUUGCAGUUGAAGCUCCAAAUGCAAUGUGAGUUCUGGCAAACGGAUCCAUUUUAUGCAAAGUUUGGAAGAUAAAAGUGAGGAAGGGCUUCCCUGGUGGCGCAGUGGUUGGGAGUCUGCCUGCCGAUGCAGGGGACACGGGUUCGUGCCCCGGUCCAGGAAGAUCCCACAUGCCGCGGA